Molecule: ribosomal RNA, 253 nt
Filed under: uncultured bacterium
Lineage: Bacteria
Description: partial 16S ribosomal RNA
Rfam family: Bacterial small subunit ribosomal RNA
Source: RNAcentral
UACGGCGGGUGCAAGCGUUAUCCGGAUUCACUGGGUUUAAAGGGUGCGUAGGUGGGCAGGUAAGUCAGUGGUGAAAUCUCCGGGCUUAACUCGGAAACUGCCAUUGAUACUAUCUGUCUUGAAUACCGUGGAGGUUAGCGGAAUAUGUCAUGUAGCGGUGAAAUGCUUAGAUAUGACAUAGAACACCAAUUGCGAAGGCAGCUGGCUACACGAAUAUUGACACUGAUGCACGAAAGCGUGGGGAUCAAACAGG